GCAAACUUGGUCAUUUAGAGGAAGUAAAAGUCGUAACAAGGUUUCCGUAGGUGAACCUGCGGAAGGAUCAUUAAUGAAAUAAUUGGUCUGUGUUGCUGCUGGCUCAUAGAGCAUGUGCACACACACUCCCAUCUUUUCACUAAACCACAUGUGAACUAUUUGUAGACCCUUUCAAGCCCUGUCGUAUGCCAGGUCUUUGGAGUACUAAAUUGCUGGAACAAAACGUGGCCAGCUUUUCUGGACUUGGGUCUAUAUCCUUAUAAACCAUUCACUAUGUAUGAGAAUGCCAUAAAUAUAAAAUAAAUUAAAUACAACUUUCAACAACGGAUCUCUUGGCUCUCGCAUCGAUGAAGAACGCAGC
This 361-nucleotide unclassified non-coding RNA is filed under the name uncultured fungus. RNAcentral's name for it is "partial contains small subunit ribosomal RNA, internal transcribed spacer 1, and 5.8S ribosomal RNA". The stretch from base 1 to 73 matches the Rfam family "Eukaryotic small subunit ribosomal RNA", at positions 1759 to 1831 of the family's 1831-position model. The record is from RNAcentral. Lineage: Eukaryota; Fungi.